This 83-nucleotide transfer RNA is filed under the name Nanohaloarchaea archaeon SG9. RNAcentral's name for it is "tRNA-Leu". It matches the Rfam family "tRNA". From Rfam's summary of the family: Transfer RNA (tRNA) molecules are approximately 80 nucleotides in length. Their secondary structure includes four short double-helical elements and three loops (D, anti-codon, and T loops). Further hydrogen bonds mediate the characteristic L-shaped molecular structure. tRNAs have two regions of fundamental functional importance: the anti-codon, which is responsible for specific mRNA codon recognition, and the 3' end, to which the tRNAs corresponding amino acid is attached (by aminoacyl-tRNA synthetases). tRNAs cope with the degeneracy of the genetic code in two manners: having more than one tRNA (with a specific anti-codon) for a particular amino acid; and 'wobble' base-pairing, i.e. permitting non-standard base-pairing at the 3rd anti-codon position. The record is from RNAcentral. Lineage: Archaea; Methanobacteriati; Methanobacteriota; Candidatus Nanohaloarchaea.
GCGGGGGUAGCCAAGUGGUCAAAGGCGCAGGACUUAGGAUCCUGUCCCGUAGGGGUUCAGGAGUUCGAAUCUUCUCCCCCGCA